UACGUAGGCAGCGAGCGUUGUUCGGAGUUACUGGGCGUAAAGGGUGUGUAGGCGGUCCUCUAAGUUUGGUGUGAAAUCUCCCGGCUUAACCGGGAGGGUGCGCCGAAAACUGGAGGGCUAGAGUGCGGGAUGGGAGAGUAGAAUUCCUGGUGUAGCGGUGAAAUGCGUAGAUAUCAGGAGGAAUACCGGGUGGUGAGACGGCUCUCUGGACCGCGACGUGACGCUGAGACACGAAAGCGUGGGUAGCAAACAGG
RNAcentral lists this ribosomal RNA (254 nucleotides) under uncultured bacterium. RNAcentral describes it as "partial 16S ribosomal RNA". It matches the Rfam family "Bacterial small subunit ribosomal RNA", at positions 524 to 776 of the family's 1533-position model. The record is from RNAcentral.